This 253-nucleotide ribosomal RNA is filed under the name uncultured bacterium. RNAcentral describes it as "partial 16S ribosomal RNA". It matches the Rfam family "Bacterial small subunit ribosomal RNA", at positions 524 to 776 of the family's 1533-position model. The record is from RNAcentral.
UACGGAGGGGGCGAGUGUUGUUCGGAAUUACUGGGCGUAAAGGGCGCGCAGGCGGCAUGGCAAGUCGAGUGUGAAAUCCCUUGGCUUAACUAAGGAAUGGCGCUCGAAACUACCGCGCUGGAGGGCGGGAGAGGGAAGUGGAACUCUCGGUGUAGGGGUGAAAUCUGUAGAUAUCGAGAGGAACACCGGUGGCGAAGGUGGCUUCCUGGCCCGUACCUGACGCUGAGGCGCGAAAGCGUGGGGAGCAAACAGG